This 31-nucleotide non-coding RNA is filed under the name Homo sapiens (human). The record is from RNAcentral. Lineage: Eukaryota; Metazoa; Chordata; Mammalia; Primates; Hominidae.
UGCAUAGGAGAAAGGGGUCACUGAUGAACGC